Molecule: ribosomal RNA, 247 nt
Filed under: uncultured bacterium
Lineage: Bacteria
Description: partial 16S ribosomal RNA
Rfam family: Bacterial small subunit ribosomal RNA
Source: RNAcentral
AUACGUAGGGUGCAAGCGUUAAUUGGAAUUACUGGGCGUAAAGCGUGCGCAGGCGGUCUUGUAAGACAGAGGUGAAAUCCCCGGGCUCAACCUGGGAACUGCCUUUGUGACUGCAAGGCUGGAGUGCGGCAGAGGGGGAUGGAAUUCCGCGUGUAGCAGUGAAAUGCGUAGAUAUGCGGAGGAACACCGAUGGCGAAGGCAAUCCCCUGGGCCUGCACUGACGCUCAUGCACGAAAGCGUGGGGAGC